RNAcentral lists this ribosomal RNA (497 nucleotides) under uncultured bacterium. RNAcentral describes it as "partial 16S ribosomal RNA". It matches the Rfam family "Bacterial small subunit ribosomal RNA", at positions 28 to 507 of the family's 1533-position model. The record is from RNAcentral.
GAUGAACGCUGGCGGCGUGCCUAAUACAUGCAAGUCGAGCGAACGGACGAGAAGCUUGCUUCUCUGAUGUUAGCGGCGGACGGGUGAGUAACACGUGGAUAACCUACCUAUAAGACUGGGAUAACUUCGGGAAACCGUAGCUAAUACCGGAUAAUAUUUUGCACCGCAUGGUUCAAAAGUGAAAGACGGUCUUGCUGUCACUUAUAGAUGGAUCCGCGCUGCAUUAGCUAGUUGGUAAGGUAACGGCUUACCAAGGCAACGAUGCAUAGCCGACCUGAGAGGGUGAUCGGCCACACUGGAACUGAGACACGGUCCAGACUCCUACGGGAGGCAGCAGUAGGGAAUCUUCCGCAAUGGGCGAAAGCCUGACGGAGCAACGCCGCGUGAGUGAUGAAGGUCUUCGGAUCGUAAAACUCUGUUAUUAGGGAAGAACAUAUGUGUAAGUAACUGUGCACAUCUUGACGGUACCUAAUCAGAAAGCCACGGCUAACUACGUG